AUUGAACGCUGGCGGCAGGCCUAACACAUGCGAGUCGAACGGUAACAGGAAGCAGCUUGCUGCUUCGCUGACGAGUGGCGGACGGGUGAGUAAUGUCUGGGAAGCUGCCUGAUGGAGGGGGAUAACUACUGGAAACGGUAGCUAAUACCGCAUAAUGUCGCAAGACCAAAGAGGGGGACCUUCGGGCCUCUUGCCAUCGGAUGUGCCCAGAUGGGAUUAGCUUGUUGGUGGGGUAACGGCUCACCAAGGCGACGAUCCCUAGCUGGUCUGAGAGGAUGACCAGCCACACUGGAACUGAGACACGGUUCAGACUCCUACGGGAGGCAGCAGUGGGGAAUAUUGCACAAUGGGCGCAAGCCUGAUGCAGCCAUGCCGCGUGUAUGAAGAAGGCCUUCGGGUUGUAAAGUACUUUCAGCGGGGAGGAAGGGAGUAAAGUUAAUACCUUUGCUCAUUGACGUUACCCGCAGAAGAAGCACCGGCUAACUCCGUG
Molecule: ribosomal RNA, 490 nt
Filed under: uncultured bacterium
Lineage: Bacteria
Description: partial 16S ribosomal RNA
Rfam family: Bacterial small subunit ribosomal RNA
Source: RNAcentral